RNAcentral lists this ribosomal RNA (333 nucleotides) under Triticum aestivum (bread wheat). RNAcentral describes it as "partial small subunit ribosomal RNA". Lineage: Eukaryota; Viridiplantae; Streptophyta; Magnoliopsida; Poales; Poaceae. The record is from RNAcentral.
AUGGAAGAGAAAGUCUCUCAACCUACCAAAGAUGGACAACAACCUAUCUCUGUGACUAAGGUUGUAUCUGACGUGCUCACUCAGCACACCAAGAAGCCUAAGUUUCUGUAGAAUGUGGGGAUCCAGCAUGUGCAUGAGAGAACCAGUGGUACCAACCUUGAAGCACAACUGGCAACGGAGAAGAAAGGUAAUGCAGAGCUUCGUAAGAUUGUCAACACCUUCACUAAGAAGGUAGAGGAAUCAGAAGAAGCAAGGAUCAGACAAGAAGAGGAGUACAUGAAGAAGCAAGCCUUGAUGGACUCUAAACUUGACCUUUUGCUAAGCCAGAGGUGA